AUACGUAGGGGGCGAGCGUUGUCCGGAAUGACUGGGCGUAAAGGGCGUGUAGGCGGCCGAUUAAGUCUGGAGUGAAAGUCCCGCUUUCAAGGUGGGAAUUGCUUUGGAGACUGGUUGGCUUGAGUGCGGAAGAGGUAAGUGGAAUUCCCAGUGUAGCGGUGAAAUGCGUAGAGAUUGGGAGGAACACCAGUGGCGAAGGCGACUUACUGGGCCGUAACUGACGCUGAGGCGCGAAAGCGUGGGGAGCGAACAGGAUUAGAUACCCUGGUAGUCCACGCUGUAAACGAUGAAUGCUAGGUGUAGGGGGUAUCGACCCCUCCUGUGCCGGAGUAAACGCAAUAAGCAUUCCGCCUGGGGAGUACGGCCGCAAGGUUGAAACUCAAAGGAAUUGACGGGG
This 397-nucleotide ribosomal RNA is filed under the name uncultured bacterium. Its description in RNAcentral is "partial 16S ribosomal RNA". It matches the Rfam family "Bacterial small subunit ribosomal RNA", at positions 523 to 918 of the family's 1533-position model. The record is from RNAcentral.